UAUAUAUAGGGAUGCAAAUGGAUCCGGGUUGGUGGAGCUCCGUCCCAAUCCGCCCCGAAUGGGGUGGUAAGUGGGAACAAAAAAUAUAAAAAAAUAUAACCCGCCCCGAAUCCGCCCCAAUUCGCCAAGUAAAUGGAGCGGGAGGCGGGAGGCUCUUUUCUUCCUUCAAUCCGCCCCGAUCCGUCAAAAACCCGGCUCCCGCCCCGAUCCGCCCCGAAUGGAGCGGUAAGUGGGAGCCAAAAAUAAAAUGAAAAGUAACCCGCCCCGAAUCCGCCCCGCCCCCAUAAGAAAUGGAGCGGGAGGUGGGAGAACUCUCCCGCCCCCGGAUCCGCCCCGUUUGCAUCCCUAGAUAUAUAAGAAAAUUAAAAAAAGCUUUUCGAGGGUAAAUUUGAAACAACGAGUAAAAGAAAUAAUUUUUAAAUUUUACAAGGGUAUAAAGAGAAUUUUUUUCAAAAAUAGGGUUAAUUUCAUACGUGUCCUUGUAAAGAUAUUAAAUUAUAAAUAUAUUCCUGUAAAGUUAAAAUGAUCAAAUUAGUUCUUUAAGAAUAUAAUAUUAUUGUAUAUAUAUCCUUACUGUUAGUCUCUCCGUUAGCAAUAUUUGCUUGAUCAUGGAUAAAACUGAAUUAUAAAACUUAACUAUUCAAAAAGUAAACUAACUUUUUCACCCCCUUACAUUUAAUUUUCAUUAGCUCCUUAGCUCCAUAACCAUCUUUAUCCCUCUCCUUAUCACCACCACCAUUUCCCUUUU
This 748-nucleotide long non-coding RNA is filed under the name Ananas comosus (pineapple). RNAcentral's name for it is "long non-coding RNA (ACOM_LNC032800)". Lineage: Eukaryota; Viridiplantae; Streptophyta; Magnoliopsida; Poales; Bromeliaceae. The record is from RNAcentral.